Molecule: ribosomal RNA, 840 nt
Filed under: uncultured bacterium
Lineage: Bacteria
Description: bacterial SSU rRNA
Rfam family: Bacterial small subunit ribosomal RNA
Source: RNAcentral
GCAAGUCGAACGGUAACGACAAAAACAAUCCCUUCGGGGUGCGAUUUUGCGUUACAAGUGGCGGACGGGUGAGUAAUGCUUAGGAAUCUGCCCAGUAGCGGGGGAUAGCUCGGAGAAAUCCGAAUUAAUACCGCAUACGCCCUACGGGGGAAAGCAGGGGAUUUUCGGACCUUGCACUAUCGGAUGAGCCUAAGUCAGAUUAGCUUGUUGGUGGGGUAAAAGCCUACCAAGGCGACGAUCUGUAGCUGGUCUGAGAGGACGAUCAGCCACACUGGGACUGAGACACGGCCCAGACUCCUACGGGAGGCAGCAGUGGGGAAUAUUGGACAAUGGGGGCAACCCUGAUCCAGCAAUGCCGCGUGUGUGAAGAAGGCCUGCGGGUUGUAAAGCACUUUCAGUAAGGAAGAAAUCCUCAGGGUUAAUACCCCUGUGGCUUGACAUUACUUACAGAAGAAGCACCGGCUAACUCCGUGCCAGCAGCCGCGGUAAUACGGAGGGUGCGAGCGUUAAUCGGAAUUACUGGGCGUAAAGCGCGCGUAGGUGGCUUGGUCAGUCGGAUGUGAAAGCCCCGGGCUUAACCUGGGAAUUGCAUUCGAUACUGCCUGGCUAGAGUAUGAUAGAGGAAAGUGGAAUUCCCGGUGUAGCGGUGAAAUGCGUAGAUAUCGGGAGGAACAUCAGUGGCGAAGGCGACUUUCUGGAUCAAUACUGACACUGAGGUGCGAAAGCGUGGGUAGCAAACAGGAUUAGAUACCCUGGUAGUCCACGCCCUAAACUAUGUCAACUAGCCGUUGGGUUCAUUUAAGGACUUAGUGGCGCAGCUAACGCGUUAAGUUGACCGCC